AGAGUUUGAUCCUGGCUCAGGACGAACGCUGGCGGCGCGCCUAACACAUGCAAGUCGAACGAGCGAGAGAGAGCUUGCUUUCUCAAGCGAGUGGCGAACGGGUGAGUAACGCGUGAGGAACCUGCCUCAAAGAGGGGGACAACAGUUGGAAACGACUGCUAAUACCGCAUAAGCCCACAGGUCGGCAUCGACCAGAGGGAAAAGGAGCAAUCCGCUUUGAGAUGGCCUCGCGUCCGAUUAGCUAGUUGGUGAGGUAACGGCCCACCAAGGCGACGAUCGGUAGCCGGACUGAGAGGUUGAACGGCCACACUGGGACUGAGACACGGCCCAGACUCCUACGGGAGGCAGCAGUGGGGAAUAUUGCACAAUGGGGGAAACCCUGAUGCAGCGACGCCGCGUGGAGGAAGAAGGUCUUCGGAUUGUAAACUCCUGUUGUUGAGGAAGAUAAUGACGGUACUCAACAAGGAAGUGACGGCUAACUACGUGCCAGCAGCCGCGGUAAAACGUAGGUCACAAGCGUUGUCCGGAAUUACUGGGUGUAAAGGGAGCGCAGGCGGGAAGACAAGUUGGAAGUGAAAUCUAUGGGCUCAACCCAUAAACUGCUUUCAAAACUGUUUUUCUUGAGUAGUGCAGAGGUAGGCGGAAUUCCCGGUGUAGCGGUGGAAUGCGUAGAUAUCGGGAGGAACACCAGUGGCGAAGGCGGCCUACUGGGCACCAACUGACGCUGAGGCUCGAAAGUGUGGGUAGCAAACAGGAUUAGAUACCCUGGUAGUCCACACCGUAAACGAUGAUUACUAGGUGUUGGAGGAUUGACCCCUUCAGUGCCGCAGUUAACACAAUAAGUAAUCCACCUGGGGAGUACGACCGCAAGGUUGAAACUCAAAGGAAUUGACGGGGGCCCGCACAAGCAGUGGAGUAUGUGGUUUAAUUCGACGCAACGCGAAGAACCUUACCAAGUCUUGACAUCCCUUGACGAUACUGGAAACAGUAUUUCUCUUCGGAGCAAGGAGACAGGUGGUGCAUGGUUGUCGUCAGCUCGUGUCGUGAGAUGUUGGUUAAGUCCCGCAACGAGCGCAACCCUUACUGUCAGUUACUACGCAAGAGGACUCUGGCAGGACUGCCGUUGACAAAACGGAGGAAGGUGGGGAUGACGUCAAAUCAUCAUGCCCUUUAUGACUUGGGCUACACACGUUCUACAAUGGCGUUAAACAAAGAGAAGCAAGACCGCGAGGUGGAGCAAAACUCAGAAACAACGUCCCAGUUCGGACUGCAGGCUGCAACUCGCCUGCACGAAGUCGGAAUUGCUAGUAAUCGUGGAUCAGCAUGCCACGGUGAAUACGUUCCCGGGCCUUGACACACCGCCCGUCAAGGGCGAAUUCGCGCGGCUAAUUCAUCGCCCUAUAUGGUCAUCUGGCC
This 1416-nucleotide ribosomal RNA is filed under the name uncultured bacterium. RNAcentral's name for it is "bacterial SSU rRNA". It matches the Rfam family "Bacterial small subunit ribosomal RNA". The record is from RNAcentral.